This 2640-nucleotide ribosomal RNA is filed under the name Escherichia coli. RNAcentral describes it as "partial 23S ribosomal RNA". It matches the Rfam family "Bacterial large subunit ribosomal RNA", at positions 296 to 2925 of the family's 2925-position model. The record is from RNAcentral. Lineage: Bacteria; Pseudomonadati; Pseudomonadota; Gammaproteobacteria; Enterobacterales; Enterobacteriaceae.
AGCCCAGAGCCUGAAUCAGUGUGUGUGUUAGUGGAAGCGUCUGGAAAGGCGCGCGAUACAGGGUGACAGCCCCGUACACAAAAAUGCACAUGCUGUGAGCUCGAUGAGUAGGGCGGGACACGUGGUAUCCUGUCUGAAUAUGGGGGGACCAUCCUCCAAGGCUAAAUACUCCUGACUGACCGAUAGUGAACCAGUACCGUGAGGGAAAGGCGAAAAGAACCCCGGCGAGGGGAGUGAAAAAGAACCUGAAACCGUGUACGUACAAGCAGUGGGAGCACGCUUAGGCGUGUGACUGCGUACCUUUUGUAUAAUGGGUCAGCGACUUAUAUUCUGUAGCAAGGUUAACCGAAUAGGGGAGCCGAAGGGAAACCGAGUCUUAACUGGGCGUUAAGUUGCAGGGUAUAGACCCGAAACCCGGUGAUCUAGCCAUGGGCAGGUUGAAGGUUGGGUAACACUAACUGGAGGACCGAACCGACUAAUGUUGAAAAAUUAGCGGAUGACUUGUGGCUGGGGGUGAAAGGCCAAUCAAACCGGGAGAUAGCUGGUUCUCCCCGAAAGCUAUUUAGGUAGCGCCUCGUGAAUUCAUCUCCGGGGGUAGAGCACUGUUUCGGCAAGGGGGUCAUCCCGACUUACCAACCCGAUGCAAACUGCGAAUACCGGAGAAUGUUAUCACGGGAGACACACGGCGGGUGCUAACGUCCGUCGUGAAGAGGGAAACAACCCAGACCGCCAGCUAAGGUCCCAAAGUCAUGGUUAAGUGGGAAACGAUGUGGGAAGGCCCAGACAGCCAGGAUGUUGGCUUAGAAGCAGCCAUCAUUUAAAGAAAGCGUAAUAGCUCACUGGUCGAGUCGGCCUGCGCGGAAGAUGUAACGGGGCUAAACCAUGCACCGAAGCUGCGGCAGCGACGCUUAUGCGUUGUUGGGUAGGGGAGCGUUCUGUAAGCCUGCGAAGGUGUGCUGUGAGGCAUGCUGGAGGUAUCAGAAGUGCGAAUGCUGACAUAAGUAACGAUAAAGCGGGUGAAAAGCCCGCUCGCCGGAAGACCAAGGGUUCCUGUCCAACGUUAAUCGGGGCAGGGUGAGUCGACCCCUAAGGCGAGGCCGAAAGGCGUAGUCGAUGGGAAACAGGUUAAUAUUCCUGUACUUGGUGUUACUGCGAAGGGGGGACGGAGAAGGCUAUGUUGGCCGGGCGACGGUUGUCCCGGUUUAAGCGUGUAGGCUGGUUUUCCAGGCAAAUCCGGAAAAUCAAGGCUGAGGCGUGAUGACGAGGCACUACGGUGCUGAAGCAACAAAUGCCCUGCUUCCAGGAAAAGCCUCUAAGCAUCAGGUAACAUCAAAUCGUACCCCAAACCGACACAGGUGGUCAGGUAGAGAAUACCAAGGCGCUUGAGAGAACUCGGGUGAAGGAACUAGGCAAAAUGGUGCCGUAACUUCGGGAGAAGGCACGCUGAUAUGUAGGUGAAGCGACUUGCUCGUGGAGCUGAAAUCAGUCGAAGAUACCAGCUGGCUGCAACUGUUUAUUAAAAACACAGCACUGUGCAAACACGAAAGUGGACGUAUACGGUGUGACGCCUGCCCGGUGCCGGAAGGUUAAUUGAUGGGGUCAGCGCAAGCGAAGCUCUUGAUCGAAGCCCCGGUAAACGGCGGCCGUAACUAUAACGGUCCUAAGGUAGCGAAAUUCCUUGUCGGGUAAGUUCCGACCUGCACGAAUGGCGUAAUGAUGGCCAGGCUGUCUCCACCCGAGACUCAGUGAAAUUGAACUCGCUGUGAAGAUGCAGUGUACCCGCGGCAAGACGGAAAGACCCCGUGAACCUUUACUAUAGCUUGACACUGAACAUUGAGCCUUGAUGUGUAGGAUAGGUGGGAGGCUUUGAAGUGUGGACGCCAGUCUGCAUGGAGCCGACCUUGAAAUACCACCCUUUAAUGUUUGAUGUUCUAACGUUGACCCGUAAUCCGGGUUGCGGACAGUGUCUGGUGGGUAGUUUGACUGGGGCGGUCUCCUCCUAAAGAGUAACGGAGGAGCACGAAGGUUGGCUAAUCCUGGUCGGACAUCAGGAGGUUAGUGCAAUGGCAUAAGCCAGCUUGACUGCGAGCGUGACGGCGCGAGCAGGUGCGAAAGCAGGUCAUAGUGAUCCGGUGGUUCUGAAUGGAAGGGCCAUCGCUCAACGGAUAAAAGGUACUCCGGGGAUAACAGGCUGAUACCGCCCAAGAGUUCAUAUCGACGGCGGUGUUUGGCACCUCGAUGUCGGCUCAUCACAUCCUGGGGCUGAAGUAGGUCCCAAGGGUAUGGCUGUUCGCCAUUUAAAGUGGUACGCGAGCUGGGUUUAGAACGUCGUGAGACAGUUCGGUCCCUAUCUGCCGUGGGCGCUGGAGAACUGAGGGGGGCUGCUCCUAGUACGAGAGGACCGGAGUGGACGCAUCACUGGUGUUCGGGUUGUCAUGCCAAUGGCACUGCCCGGUAGCUAAAUGCGGAAGAGAUAAGUGCUGAAAGCAUCUAAGCACGAAACUUGCCCCGAGAUGAGUUCUCCCUGACCCUUUAAGGGUCCUGAAGGAACGUUGAAGACGACGACGUUGAUAGGCCGGGUGUGUAAGCGCAGCGAUGCGUUGAGCUAACCGGUACUAAUGAACCGUGAGGCUUAACCUU